This 1170-nucleotide ribosomal RNA is filed under the name Triticum aestivum (bread wheat). Its description in RNAcentral is "partial small subunit ribosomal RNA". Lineage: Eukaryota; Viridiplantae; Streptophyta; Magnoliopsida; Poales; Poaceae. The record is from RNAcentral.
AUGGCAGAGAAUGGAGAUCCUCGCCCCAAACUUGCCGCUAGUUUGCCUUGCCUCCCUGCGACGGCUCCGCCGCUCAGGCCGCCCGGAUGCGCCAUUCUGCCCACGGUCGCGUCUUUGCCACCCCCCGCCCCCGUGCAGAGGGGCAGCGUGCGGCCGUUCGUUUGGUCAAGGAGGUGGGCAAUUAUGGGUGGUCUGGCGAGGAGGCGGGCGUGUAUCAACGGGCGCGGCGUGCCGCCGCGCGGGCUCCGCUAUCACCGCCAACCAGUAGUAUGUGAUGCACGGCGGAAAGAGGUCGUCGAGCAGUCACGCGCUGGAGGCUGGGAUGCGCGUCCCGCUGCUGACGUUCUCGCCAACUUCGGCAUCACUCCUACCCAGCUCGCAUCGAAUGGGUGGCGCAUCAUGGCGGGCUUCCUCGCCCUCUGCCAUUCCGACGGCAUGCCGCCGGACGGAACGCGGCAGGAGGAGGCUCUCCCGCGCGGGGACGGUGCGGCGUGGGCGGGAUAUGGUUGCUGGAGUGGUCGCUGGCAGUGGGGCUGCCCGACGGCGGCGAGAGGCGGCGGUGAGUUGUUGUUGAAAUUGGCGCGUGAUGCAUCAGUCCGUUUGGGCUGGUUAGAUAGACUUUCACCGAGUUCAGCCUUUCUUGGCCCAUAUCAAUGUGCGCUGGGAGAUAAGAAGGCACGGCACUCUGGUAGAGGUCCAGCUCCUAGCAGGCAGGCGGGGCGGCGACCACCACGGCGACCGGCGGCUACGCAGGUGCGUUCCUCCCCCCUUCCCCUCUCUUCCCCACCCCUUCUCCCGUCGCUCCCUAGCCUUCUUCCCCAUCUGUGCUCACAUGGAUCGGUCACCCUGUGCCACGCCCCUCUAGUCGGCGGUGGCUCAGGACCGGCACUCCCCGCCGUCCUACCCGCACGCGGUGCUCCGCCCUCCUUAGCCACGCGCCACCGCCUCACUUUGCUACGCCCUCCAUUCUCCACGAUGGCCAUAGGAGCUGCUGCUCCUUUUCUGCACAAACUACAGAUCCACCAUGGGUCCAUGGCCGUAGGAGCUGCUGCUCGUUUUGUGCAGCCACAACUGCUCCGCCAUGGAUUACGGAAGUUUUGUCGAUCUGCUGGCCGAUUCAAGAUAAGUGAACUUUACAGCUCUGUCGAUCUGCUGGCCGAUUCAAGAUAA